GACGAACGCGGCGGCGUGCUUAACACAUGCAAGUCGAACGGAGCGAAUGAAAGCUUGCUUUUAUAAGCUUAGUGGCAAACGGGUGAGUAACACGUAGGCAACCUGCCGACAGGAUGGGGACAACAUUCCGAAAGGAAUGCUAAUACCGAAUGAAGCGCAGGGGAGGCAUCUCUCCUGCGUGAAAGAUGGCCUCUAUAUAUAAGCUAUCACCUGUCGAUGGGCCUGCGUCUGAUUAGCUGGUAGGUGAGGUAACGGCUCACCUAGGCGACGAUCAGUAGCCGGUCUGAGAGGAUGAACGGCCACAUUGGGACUGAGACACGGCCCAGACUCCUACGGGAGGCAGCAGUGGGGAAUCUUCCGCAAUGGGCGCAAGCCUGACGGAGCAACGCCGCGUGAGUGAAGAAGGUCUUCGGAUCGUAAAGCUCUGUUGAUGGGGACGAACGUGCCUAAUGCGAAUAGUAUUAGGUAAUGACGGACCCAUCAAGAG
This 487-nucleotide ribosomal RNA is filed under the name Centipeda noxia. Its description in RNAcentral is "bacterial SSU rRNA". It matches the Rfam family "Bacterial small subunit ribosomal RNA", at positions 28 to 488 of the family's 1533-position model. The record is from RNAcentral. Lineage: Bacteria; Bacillati; Bacillota; Negativicutes; Selenomonadales; Selenomonadaceae.